UAGCAAUACCUUUGUCGGCGACCGGCGCACGGGUGAGUAACACGUAUGCAAUCCACCUGUAACAGGGGGAUAACCCGGAGAAAUCCGGACUAAUACCCCAUAAUAUGGACACUCCGCAUGGAGAGUUCAUUAAAGAGAGCAAUUUUGGUUACAGACGAGCAUGCGCUCCAUUAGCCAGUUGGCGGGGUAACGGCCCACCAAGGCGACGAUCAGUAGCCGACUUGAGAGAGUGAUCGGCCACAUUGGGACUGAGACACGGUCCAGACUCC
This 269-nucleotide ribosomal RNA is filed under the name uncultured bacterium. RNAcentral describes it as "partial 16S ribosomal RNA". It matches the Rfam family "Bacterial small subunit ribosomal RNA", at positions 77 to 339 of the family's 1533-position model. The record is from RNAcentral.